UACGGGGGGAGCAAGCGUUGUUCGGAUUUACUGGGCGUAAAGGGCGCGUAGGCGGUCAGCACAAGUCAGUUGUGAAAUCUCCGGGCUUAACUCGGAAAGGUCAACUGAUACUGUGCGACUAGAGUGCGGAAGGGGCAACUGGAAUUCUCGGUGUAGCGGUGAAAUGCGCAGAUAUCGGGAGGAACACCCGUAGCGAAGGCGGCACUCUGGGCCGGUACUGACGCUGAGGAGCGAAAGCGUGGGGAGCAAACAGG
RNAcentral lists this ribosomal RNA (254 nucleotides) under uncultured bacterium. Its description in RNAcentral is "partial 16S ribosomal RNA". It matches the Rfam family "Bacterial small subunit ribosomal RNA", at positions 524 to 776 of the family's 1533-position model. The record is from RNAcentral.